GUCCUGUCAACCCUUUUAGCACGUGUCAAAAACUCAAAGAAAAAGACGAUGACUUUGAAGUCUACAAGUCAUAUUUCUGUGAACGAGUGAACUGGCAACAUGUCGAGCCCGUAAGUAACUAGGUUUUUCCUGUAGAAAUUAUAGCAAGUCACAGUAAAAUCUUGAACACAGAACAACAACAACAAGAGCAGCAGCUGGAUCAAUUGGUUCCUCGGAAUCAAGGGCAACGAGUUCCUCUGCCAUGUGCCCACCAACUACUUUCAGGACACGUUCAACCAGAUGGGCCUGGAGUACUUCAGCCAGCACUGGACGUGAUCCUGAAGCCGGUUUUCGACAGUUCCUCGGGCUUGUUCUACGACGAUGAGAAAAAGUGGUACGGCGUGAUUCACGCCCGAUACAUCAGGUCGGAGCGUGGUGUGAAUGAAUAUGCACCGAAAGUAUGAGAGGAGACUUUGAAUCGUGUCCGAAUAUCUUCCGUAAUAGGAAGAACACCCUGCCAGUGGGCCUCAGCGAUGUGUGGGCCAAGUCAACGGUGAAGAUCUACUGCCCACGCUGUAAAAACUACUUCCAUCCUAAAACUGAUACACAGCCAUGUUCGAGCCCAGAUUCCCGGACAUCUUCUUAACGCAGCUGCCUAACUUGAGACCGCCCCUGGACGACCCACGGUAAGUAAUUCUCCGAAUAUAGUCCUGGUUGUUUUCUAAACAUAGCGCUUGAACUUGCAGUCCCUAUGCUUUCGGUUGCACCAGAAGGCCUUGAUGCCACUUAAAUCGCCCAAGUCUUCACCAAAGAAUAUCGGAUCCUCGGCCAGCUAGUCCUCCUCCUCGCUCCGGCAUUCCGAAGUCAAGCGCUUCAAUGUUCUUUUAGGGAUGACGUGAUUUUUUAACUCUACACAAAAGAAAGCAGAAAUGUUUGUCCGAUAUAUUGUUGUUGCAAUUAAACAGAUUGAUCGUUGAUAUGGCCAGCUACCACCUACUAAUACACCUCAUACACCUCUGCCCUAAAUACUUGGUUCAAAGUGUUCGGUCCAAGCUGGUCAUAUCAAGCACUCAUUCGAGUAGCAAAGCAUACUUUUCGUUAAUAGUGGUAAUCACCUGGGUAUAAUAAUAAUAUUAAUCAAUAAAACAUUCAAUUCAGUUUUUUAUUUAAUUUUAUGUUAAAAGAGUUUCCAAAAGUGUU
RNAcentral lists this long non-coding RNA (1179 nucleotides) under Drosophila melanogaster (fruit fly). Its description in RNAcentral is "Supressor of Stellate:CR45796 (Dmel_CR45796)". The record is from RNAcentral. Lineage: Eukaryota; Metazoa; Arthropoda; Insecta; Diptera; Drosophilidae.